Molecule: ribosomal RNA, 433 nt
Filed under: uncultured bacterium
Lineage: Bacteria
Description: partial 16S ribosomal RNA
Rfam family: Bacterial small subunit ribosomal RNA
Source: RNAcentral
AACGAACGCUGGCGGCAUGCCUAACACAUGCAAGUCGAACGAGACCUUCGGGUCUAGUGGCGCACGGGUGCGUAACGCAUGGGAACCUGCCCUUAGGUUCGGAAUAACUCCCCGAAAGGGGUGCUAAUACCGGAUAAUGUCUUCGGACCAAAGAUUUAUCGCCUUUGGAUGGGCCCGCGUUGGAUUAGCUAGUUGGUAGGGUAAAAGCCUACCAAGGCGACGAUCCAUAGCUGGUCUGAGAGGAUGAUCAGCCACACUGGGACUGAGACACGGCCCAGACUCCUACGGGAGGCAGCAGUGGGGAAUAUUGGACAAUGGGCGAAAGCCUGAACCAGCAAUGCCGCGUGAGUGAUGAAGGCCUUAGGGUUGUAAAGCUCUUUUACCCGGGAUGAUAAUGACAGUACCGGGAGAAUAAGCUCCGGCUAACUCCGUG